RNAcentral lists this long non-coding RNA (426 nucleotides) under Dromaius novaehollandiae (emu). RNAcentral describes it as "lncRNA (ENSDNVG00000010354.1)". The record is from RNAcentral. Lineage: Eukaryota; Metazoa; Chordata; Aves; Casuariiformes; Dromaiidae.
CUACUAGCUUCCUGUUUGAUUCUUAUUUUCUCUCUUCCCCCUAUCAGCUAUGGCUUUUCUUCUCUUUCAGCCUUCUUUCCUUCAUAUUUCACAGAAUCCAGAGGUGGUGACAGCUGUCCUUCAUUCAGAAUAGAUGUCAAAAGCAGUGAAGUUCUUUUUGGAAAAAAGAACGUUUAUUUGAGUCACAGUCUUCCACUUGCCCAAAUUCCACAUCUGCCUCUAAAGAAGCCUGCCCAGUCCUGUGUAUUAUGUACCAGACAGCCAUUCUGAUCAUUGAGUCAAAUAUGUAGAGGCCUCAGCACUACUAUAGUACAUAGCGGCUCCCCUGUAAGUGACAGCAUUCCUCUGCAAAGCUGGCACUUCAGCAAGGACGUGCUAGGUACAUGACCCAGCUCAGGAGGUACGUAUUGUCCUACAUAAAGUGCC